CUGGCAUCUUGCACAAUUAACGCAAAUGGCCGCAAUUUGCUCGUGGUGGCAGGGACAAACAUUUGCUUAAAACUGUGUAAUCGCUUCAUUGUCGCAUUUUCCGCAAAACCACGGACUCUGAAGCACCACAGCGCCCAGUUGGAAACCGGGAAGUGGAACCAAGGAGGAUAUGCAGCACUCUUCAUUGCACCAAAGUUGACCCACAGACGCAGAAAGAGACGGCGGCUGGCGGCAGAAAGAGACGGCUUGCGGCGAGCGGAAAGAGAUGGAGCGCAAUGAAAAGCAGCCGACGGACAACGGAUUUUGUCAACCAGCAUUUCCCUCUCGCAAUUUCCUGGAGCCGGGGAGAACUGAAUUGAAUUUACGCUCAAACAAUAACAUUUGGAAAGCUGCCCAGCUUUGUGAGUUUGCCAGUUUGGAAAAGGCUCUGUGGGCGUUUGCCUAAGCUUAUUUUCAUUUAACGUGCUGAAGAUUGAGUCUAAUAUAACAAGUGUAAAGCAGCUCUAUAUUUAUCGUACCGCCCCUACUUUCGCAGUCAACGGGGAUAUCCUAGUCAUUCAAUGGGAGGAUCUGUUACAUGAACUUGUGUGAAUUACUUACAGUUUUCAGUCGAUUGGCAAUUGUUUUAUUAAGCGGGGUUUUAAUUUAUAGUAGUUGGGUAUAUAUUAAAAGAAAAUCAGUAUUCUCUAGGAUUCUCAUGGCAUUUCUCUGCAUUUUCUGGAUUGCAGAAAGCAGAAAAACGGUAACCAUACGUUGUGACAAAGCCACGAUGACUUUGGUCAUGGGUUUGGAUUGGUGCAGUGGAACUCAGUUGGUGCUCAAAAUAACUUGAUUGAUUUAUCAGAAUAAAAACUUUAUUUCCUAUCGAAAUAU
Drosophila santomea is the source of this 873-nucleotide long non-coding RNA. RefSeq lists it as uncharacterized. NCBI's taxonomy places the organism in Eukaryota, Metazoa, Arthropoda, Insecta, Diptera, Drosophilidae. The transcript has 2 exons. The record is from RefSeq and is a predicted model, not a curated record.